This 408-nucleotide ribosomal RNA is filed under the name uncultured bacterium. Its description in RNAcentral is "partial 16S ribosomal RNA". It matches the Rfam family "Bacterial small subunit ribosomal RNA", at positions 28 to 526 of the family's 1533-position model. The record is from RNAcentral.
GACGAACGCUGGCGGCGUGCCUAAUACAUGCAAGUCGAGCGAAGCGGCGGAUGGGUGAGUAACGCGUGGGUAACAUGCCCUUAAGCCUGGGAUACCCAGUGGAAACAGAUGCUCAUACAGGAUAAUAAAGGAUGGACCUGCGAUGAAUUAGCGAGUUGGUAAGGUAACGGCUUAACAAGGCGAUGAUGCAUAGCCGAGUUGAGAGACUGAUCGGCCACAUUGGGACUGAGACACGGCCCAAACUCCUACGGGAGGCAGCAGUAGGGAAUCUUCCACAAUGGACGAAAGUCUGAUGGAGCAACGCCGCGUGAGUGAAGAAGGUUUUCGGAUCGUAAAGCUCUGUUGUUGGUGAAGCGGUAAUCAACCAGAAAGGCACGGCUAACUACGUGCCAGCAGCCGCGGUAAUAC